CCAGCUCAGAGCGUUGCCACCCCAGCAGAACAAAUUGCAGAGCCUUUUCCUCUCUUCUUCCUGAAAGGAAAAACCCUCGGCCUGGGCAGCAAAAGCAUCGCUGAAUCUGCUGGUGCUGAGCAGAGACCUCUUCUUGUGGUUGGUGGUGACAUCCACAGCGAUGGCUGGGUAUCUCAUUUGAGGAAGAACAGCCUCUAUGGGAUGAAGGACAGCCCAGCUUCUACUGGAAGAUCUGACAUCUUGAACCUCGUAGGGAAGGCUCAGAGUCAGUUUGUUGUGCGUGCAGUUCCGGGGAGGCAGCAGUCUGGACAGCUGAGGUUGCUGAGACAAUAUGCAACACCCUCGUGCGCUGCCUUGGGCUACAGCAAGUGAGAAAUGGAGCUCAAGCAGGUAACAUGCAAAUGCACGUGAAGGGGUGCGAUCAGGGAAUUCAUUUUGUUUCCCUAAAGAGUAGUAAAAAUGCCCUCGUGACCCC
Molecule: long non-coding RNA, 475 nt
Filed under: Otus sunia (Oriental scops-owl)
Lineage: Eukaryota; Metazoa; Chordata; Aves; Strigiformes; Strigidae
Description: lncRNA (ENSOSUG00000003570.1)
Source: RNAcentral